UACGGGAGGAAGCAGUGGGGAAUAUUGCACAAUGGGCGAAAGCCUGAUGCAGCAACGCCGCGUGAGCGAUGAAGGCCUUCGGGUCGUAAAGCUCUGUCCUCAAGGAAGAUAAUGACGGUACCUGAGGAAUAAGCAUCGGCUAACUCCGUGCCAGCAGCCGCGGUAAUACGGAGGAUGCAAGCGUUAUCCGGAAUGAUUGGGCGUAAAGAGUCCGUAGGUGGCAUUGAAAGUCUGCUGUUAAAGAGUCUAGCUCAACUAGAUAAGAGCAGUGGAAACUACAAAGCUAGAGUUUGGUCGGGGCAGAAGGAAUUCCUGGUGUAGCGGUGAAAUGCGUAGAUAUCAGGAAGAACACCGGUGGCGAAGGCGUUCUGCUAGGCCGAGACUGACACUGAGGGACGAAAGCUAGGGGAGCGAAUGGGAUUAGAUACCCCAGUAGUCCUAGCCGUAAACGAUGGAUACUAGGCGUAGCUCGUAUCGACCCGAGCUGUGCCGGAGCUAACGCGUUAAGUAUCCCGCCUGGGGAGUACGCAGGCAACUGUGAAACUCAAAUGAAUUGACGG
RNAcentral lists this ribosomal RNA (560 nucleotides) under uncultured bacterium. Its description in RNAcentral is "bacterial SSU rRNA". It matches the Rfam family "Bacterial small subunit ribosomal RNA", at positions 340 to 916 of the family's 1533-position model. The record is from RNAcentral.